Molecule: ribosomal RNA, 254 nt
Filed under: uncultured bacterium
Lineage: Bacteria
Description: partial 16S ribosomal RNA
Rfam family: Bacterial small subunit ribosomal RNA
Source: RNAcentral
UACGGGGGGGGGCAAGCGUUGUUCGGAAUUACUGGGCGUAAAGGGCUCUUAGGCGGCCAACUAAGUCAGACGUGAAAUCCCUCGGCUUAACCGGGGAACUGCGUCUGAUACUGGUUGGCUUGAGUGUGGGAGAGGGAUGCGGAAUUCCAGGUGUAGCGGUGAAAUGCGUAGAUAUCUGGAAGAACACCAAAGGCGAAGGCAGUGUCCUGGGUGGUCGCUGACGCUGAGAGGCGAAAGCCAGGGGAGCGAACGGG